CUCGAGACUAGAGUCACAGCCUGACAGCUCUUUCCUAGUGUGCUAGAGUCCUUAGAGAAAAUGUGCUGUUCUUGGUUCACUGGUGAGGGCAAUCAUUGCCCCCAGGAGUGCUCAGAUCAGAUACAUGC
This 128-nucleotide small nucleolar RNA is filed under the name Bison bison bison. RNAcentral's name for it is "Small nucleolar RNA SNORA3/SNORA45 family (ENSBBBG00000014407.1)". It matches the Rfam family "Small nucleolar RNA SNORA3/SNORA45 family". From Rfam's summary of the family: The members of this family belong to the H/ACA class of snoRNAs which are thought to guide the sites of modification of uridines to pseudouridines. This family includes mouse snoMBI-28 and human homologues ACA3 (SNORA3) and ACA3-2 (SNORA45). Both ACA3 and ACA3-2 share the same host gene. The record is from Rfam by way of RNAcentral. Lineage: Eukaryota; Metazoa; Chordata; Mammalia; Artiodactyla; Bovidae.